UCGAGGUGUAGCGCAGUUUGGUAGCGCACAUGGUUUGGGACCAUGGGGCCGGGGGUUCGAGUCCNAUGGCUCGUU
Molecule: transfer RNA, 75 nt
Filed under: Clostridioides difficile
Lineage: Bacteria; Bacillati; Bacillota; Clostridia; Peptostreptococcales; Peptostreptococcaceae
Description: tRNA-Pro(tgg)
Rfam family: tRNA
About the family: Transfer RNA (tRNA) molecules are approximately 80 nucleotides in length. Their secondary structure includes four short double-helical elements and three loops (D, anti-codon, and T loops). Further hydrogen bonds mediate the characteristic L-shaped molecular structure. tRNAs have two regions of fundamental functional importance: the anti-codon, which is responsible for specific mRNA codon recognition, and the 3' end, to which the tRNAs corresponding amino acid is attached (by aminoacyl-tRNA synthetases). tRNAs cope with the degeneracy of the genetic code in two manners: having more than one tRNA (with a specific anti-codon) for a particular amino acid; and 'wobble' base-pairing, i.e. permitting non-standard base-pairing at the 3rd anti-codon position.
Source: RNAcentral